RNAcentral lists this ribosomal RNA (254 nucleotides) under uncultured bacterium. Its description in RNAcentral is "partial 16S ribosomal RNA". It matches the Rfam family "Bacterial small subunit ribosomal RNA", at positions 524 to 776 of the family's 1533-position model. The record is from RNAcentral.
UACAGAGGGUGCGAGCGUUAAUCGGAAUUACUGGGCGUAAAGCGCGCGUAGGCGGCUUUGCAAGCCGGAUGUGAAAUCCCCGGGCUUAACCUGGGAACUGCAUUCGGGACUGCAUUGCUAGAGUAUGGGAGAGGGAAGUGGAAUUUCAGGUGUAGCGGUGAAAUGCGUAGAUAUCUGAAGGAACAUCAGUGGCGAAAGCGACUUCCUGGACCAACACUGACGCUGAGUGAGCGAAAGCUAGGGGAGCGAACAGG